RNAcentral lists this small RNA (96 nucleotides) under Parafrankia flexibilis. RNAcentral's name for it is "Frankia sp. EI5c Mycobacterium sRNA Ms_AS-1". It matches the Rfam family "Mycobacterium sRNA Ms_AS-1". The record is from Rfam by way of RNAcentral. Lineage: Bacteria; Bacillati; Actinomycetota; Actinomycetes; Frankiales; Frankiaceae.
GUCGGGUUCGGGAUGAACCGGUUCACCCGGCCGCCGAUGACCAGUUGUACGCGCUUGCCGGCCUGCACGACCUGGACGCCGCGGUGCGCGAACCUG